RNAcentral lists this long non-coding RNA (1939 nucleotides) under Xyrichtys novacula (pearly razorfish). Lineage: Eukaryota; Metazoa; Chordata; Actinopteri; Labriformes; Labridae. The record is from RNAcentral.
UUCCACUUAACUAGAAAAAUUGCAUUUCCUUGCAGAAAAUGCGUGGAAAUGCUGAGUGCUGAAAGCUGAAAAAGCAAUGCUAAACUGCUAAUAAAACAUGGAGAAAGGUAUAAAUGUAAAAGCUGUUGAAGGGGGGAAAAAAUAUAUAAGUUAAAUAAUUGUAAAUAAGAGGUUGGAGAAUAAAUAGUACGAAUAUGCUCCUCAAAUUGAAAUUUGAUUCAUGCUGAAAGAGGCUGGAAAUUUUUUUACAAUUACACAAAGUUUGAAUGAAGAAGUAAAUUACCUUAAAAGGCAAGUACGUGAGAAGUGGCAUAAGUUUAAGUUGUAGUACUAGAAGUAGUAUGAUAAUAGGUAGUUGUAGUAGUGAUAUUAGUAGUCAUGUAAGCAGUAGAAGUAGUUUUAGAAUAGAAGAAGUAGAAGUCAAAGCAGUAGAGCUCGUGGUAGAAGUAAGAGUAGAAGUAAAAAAAUAUUAAGAGAAGCAAGAGCAGUGGAGGUAGAAGUGAAGAUACAAGUUAAGGUGACAUAAGUAGUAAUUGUAGUGGUAGAACUGGGAUUUUGCUUGAAGAAUCAAAACAUACAUAAAUAAUGAGAAUGAUUUUGAAGUGGGAAAAACUUUAAAUAAUUAGACGUCCUAAUGUGUUAAACAGGUUUGAAGUAUCCGAAAGGUUUGAAUCAGUUUGAAUGAGUUUGGAUUUGUCUGAAGCAUUUAAUAAUGCAUGAAUAAUGAGAAUAAUUUUAAAGUGGGAAAAAGUUAAAUGAAUAAAAAUCCUGAGUACACCCCAUAUUGUCCUCAAUGAGCUGAAUAUUUGGAAGCCCUGAAUGGUUUCUGUAGCUCAAAGUUUGUAGUCCUCGCUUUGUGGGUCUUUUCUCAUAGACCUCACAAGGCAGCAAGUACAAGAAUGUGUGUGUGUGUGUCUCUCCUUAAUGACUGCAUCCUAAACAGCUGUGAGAUCAAAGGCAUUAACUGACCAACUGUUUGACUGAGAAGCUCCUUAAGUGCAGUGAAUUUAUUGCCUCUGAACUUCUUCACAUAGCGUGAUUUCCUUAAGUCCAAGAAUGAAAAUAAGAACAUCGUACGAAUCCUCCGCCCUUCAUGAACACAAUGAUGUGUUUUUCAUGUCUGUACUCCAAGAAAUGUGGCCACAACAGCGAGUUAAAAAAGUCUGAGCCUGAGUGGCGAUAAGGAUUUUCUUGCAGAAAAAAUACAUUAGGGCUAAUGGGAGAGAUUUCCGCCUAUUUGAACAGUUGGUCACCUGCUGGCCAAGGGGUAGGAUUAAAUGAUUUGAAACCUCUUUUGUGAGAAGCAGGACACAUAUACCUCCAUUUUGAUGUAUUUUUUAUGUCUGUGGAGUGAGAUUUGUAGGCGUGGGAGCGAUAUAUUCGAGCGAGGUUCUGUCGAUCAGAGACGAGGUCUGCACUCUAGCUUUUCAAAUCCUCACUCUAAACUCUCCAAUACACACCCAUUAUAAAGCCUGAAAAUUUGCUGAAAACCACAAGUUGCUUAAAGCUAAAUUGUUGUGGAAGAACUGUAAAAGAUAUCAAAAAACUGACUACAACUGUAAUAGUCGACAAGACAAUGAACAUUUUAAAGCAAAAAUGAGGUCUCUAGGUGAAAGUAUGCAGAAGUUACAAGGUUCAGAAGGUGGAAGAAUAACAGGAAGAAUUGGAAGAUUUCCCCAUUGACUUCAAUGUUAAAAUUUUUGCAUAAAAAGUUAAAAAAAUCAAAAAGUAUAAAGGGUAGAAAAGUGAAAAGUAAUCGCCGUCAUGUCCUGAAGGAGAGGAAUAGUUUAAAGUUUGAACGGUUGAAAUCGCACAAAGUGGAGAAGAGUUAUAAAGUGCCAAAAAAUGGCGGAAGAAAAAUAAUAAUAAUAAUAAUAAUAAUAAAGAAACAGGAGAAUAACAAUAAGUGGAAAUGCCUAUCAGCAUUUCCACUUAACUA